Dermochelys coriacea (leatherback sea turtle) is the source of this 736-nucleotide long non-coding RNA. RefSeq lists it as uncharacterized. Lineage: Eukaryota; Metazoa; Chordata; Testudines; Dermochelyidae. The transcript is spliced from 2 exons. The record is from RefSeq and is a predicted model, not a curated record.
AGACUCUCUCUGCUUGCAGAGAGAGAAAGGCCUGGCUACUGGGGAACCUAACCAAGUGCCUAGGGUGGAGCAGGGCUGGGGGAAGGCCAACGGAGCUGGGAAGCUCUGGCCUGGGAACCCUCCCGCCCCCCCCAGGCUGUGGCCUAGUUGAAGGCCAAUUAGGUAUUUUCCUUAGAGAGAAUAUACAGUCUUCCCUCAUCAGCCUUAAAUGAUGUUACACAACAGAAGCAAGUGACAUCGUUUUCAAGAGGUGUUUUGUAGUUGUUGUUUCUCUUUUACCCUUUCUCAACAUCACUUCAUGAGGAAAGGGAUUCAUGUUUUUUUCCCUUGUUCUGAGAUCUUGUGUCUUGCUAGUCAGAACUCUCUCUAUAGCUGCUGGAGAAAUAGCCCUCUUUAAAAUAUGAAGAAGAUGCUGAUAACUAAAGAAGACUUCCUGUUCUUUACUUGGUGUAUUUAGUUGUGGUGUAUUUGAGUGGAAGCACUCAUGCGCAGAAAGCCAGAGCGGCGUAAUAGACCAAGAGCAGAAUAGACUUCAGAAUGAACAAACUCUAGCACCUAACCUGAACCUAGUCUCUUAAUUCUCCAGUUUCCACUUCUAUUGAGCCAUAAUGAUGAUGAACCUAAAUAGAUAAGUAAUAAUAUCAUGAGAAGGAAGGAUAGAUAUGUGUGUGAAAUAAUAACCAGCUCCAUCAGAGCACAGGAUAAAGUAAACAUAAGCAAACAGCAUCAGCAACUA